Molecule: long non-coding RNA, 5958 nt
Filed under: Taeniopygia guttata (zebra finch)
Lineage: Eukaryota; Metazoa; Chordata; Aves; Passeriformes; Estrildidae
Description: lncRNA (ENSTGUG00000025124.1)
Source: RNAcentral
GGCUGUGGACUCCUUCAGAGAUGCUCUAAGAUGUACUCUGAGAAAAUGAUUAGGACUGCAAACCUCCAAUCACUUGUUAAGAAAUAUGUGCAAGCAGCUUUGAAAAAAAUUCUGUAUAACUCUGAAACUAUUCUGGAAACACUGGAGCCUGGAGAGCUUUUUUAGAAUAGAAUUCUGUAUUGCCACAGGUGCACAGUUUAUUGGGUAGUCCUAAAAAACCAGAUGUUUAGCAGUAUUUUUCAGGGUUGUGUUUCAAAGCUGCUUCUGCUUAUCCCUGCUGACACCAUUACCUUCCCAAAAUCUCAUGGUGCUUUGAUCAAAAACUAAAGAAAUCAGGUAAAAUUUCAGCUGGUCCACAUAUACUCAAGGGGCUAUAUUUUGUCAACUACUUAGAAGAGACUGUGAUCUGCACAGCACAACAGAACAGAGAUAUAUGAGCCAUAUUUACCUUAUCUGAAGAUAGAAGAAAUAACAGCCUUAUCUAUAUAAUCAGUCAUAAAUCAUAAUCUUCAAAUUUGCAGUCAUCAAGACUCAUUAAUUAUAUCUGACAUUAUUUCUGCACUUUGUAGCUUCUUUUCCUCAACACAGAACAAAGCAAAUCCCAUUUACAACUGGCCUUUCUUCCUGCCUUAGAAGGAAUUAAACACCCAGCUACUUACAGUUCAAUAAAAUCUUCAAAUCCCGUGUGAACAAAAUGAACAAAGCUCAUAAGCACAUGUUCUCUCCUACAGACACCAGUGGGAUGGGAGGAUGUGCCUGGAAGGUUUGGGUGAAAAUGGGAAUAUCUGUGCUUGUAAAGCUAUUCCAGGCUAUGGAUAGCAGGGUUAGUUGUAGAGGAUCUCAGCAAAGGUACUGGUGUGAUUUUGAAAAUGAUUUGGUCGUGCUGGUGUAUGUUACUUGAAAGCUUUGUUUCAACACAGAAGGGAUGAGCUCCAGCACGGGGCUGUGCUGACACAGCUCUGAUCUGUGCUUGCAAACUGCUCUGUCUCCUCAGCACCACAGCACUACUCAGUGUAGAAAAUCCCUCCGCAAGGCUGUAGGUUGGCACAGAUUUGCAAUUCAGUAAGUAAAUUCCCUUGCACACUAUAGGAUGAAUCCAAGUAAACUAUGCUUAGACAGUGAAGUUUCUUCCACUUUAUGCCCUGAUUUUUCUAUUUACAGCAUUUUCAAACUUGCACCAAAAGCCAAGGACUGCAACUAGAGUGGUAAGUAGCAAACCCGUGGCGAUGAAGCAAAGAGGAUGUUUUGGGACUUUCCUGUCAAGCCUUGAGCAGUUCAGAGUUACUCCAGGGAAGUGCCAGUUCUGGAAAGCCCCUGAGAAUAUCUGCAGGAGCCUUCACCUUCACAAAGUGGUGGGGAAAAGCUGCUGUGGGCUGUGAUAGAGCACCGACUGCAAGCAGCAAUGACUGCGUGAUGAGACUGAACUCUUCUUGCUCCUCCAGCUCAAGGGAACCUUGAAAAUCUCAGGGCAAGACUUUCCACUCUGCAUCGGUGAUUAUGCUCUUAAAAUGCUGUGGAUUUGGACACAGAUAAGCAAUCAUGAGAAGAAUGUGUUGCCUUGGCUUCUUCCUUCCUGCGGCUCAGUUCCUUCACAUCCAGUUCUCCCAAAUCACACAGAGCAAGGACAUCUGUAGGAUCAAAGCAAAAGGAUUGUGCCCUGGAUCCUGAACUCAGUAUUUUUGUAUUCCUUUGGAAUCAGAUGGAUGCUGGAUGUCUUCAGUUGAAGAGUAGAAGAGAUUGCAAUUGUUCUGAAUGAAAAUGGCCAAUGACAGCACAGUAUCACACAGUGGAUAACUUCCAGAAUCGAGAUGACCCCCUUGUCUAUCGCGGAACAAGAAGGAUUAUGGGAUUCCAAUUUAAUGUGAUAAAAUGUCAUCACAAACAUGAAAUUUUAAAGCCAUCAUUCAAUAAUUAUAAUUAGCCUAUGUCAAACUGCUCUGAAUACUAAAGCAACUAUAAAAGGUGAAAAUUGUCUUAAUUAGCAAAGAUGCAGAAAAUGUGUGAGACUGACUCACGUCAGGGAAGGCUCCAAUUAACCUGGCCCAGAUUGAGAUAAUUAAGAGGGCAGCUUCAAUUGUGUAAAGAAUGAAAAACUUCUGGUGUGGUAUGAGGUCUUGUAUUUUUCCAUUCCUGGGCCUGUUGUUCAGUGAUACCUUCAGGCACAUCAUCUGUUUACAUAAAAUUGUUUCCUGAGCUGGCUGCUGAAAACCAGACUUACAUCCAGCAAGCCCUGAGGAUACUCUUCAAACCCUUUUGGUUAUUAACUCUUUCACUGAGUAUUACCUGUUCAGCAAGCUUUCUGCCUGGAUGCUACACACACCCAUUGAAGCUCUUGUUCAAUACUAUUUUGGAGAAGUCUAGACCAGAAGGAUUGGUAAAAUUACUACCCCAGACUAAUAAAAAGCAAGAAACCAUUUCUUUCUAUAUAGGGGAAUCUUGUGGACACCACCUCAUAGUGGGGCUCUGGUCAUUGCAUUGUAGCAGAAAAACUGCUCAGCCUGGACUGGUCUACACCUAAAAAAUUCUGUGGCUGCUUCUCAUUGAAGAAGUGAAUGGUCUUUAAACUGUCAAUUCCCAAGGGAAGAUUGUGCAAACUCCUUCAGAUCCAGAUCACAGGAAUUCUGUUCUGACCUGUCCUGCUGAUCACUGUACAAACCCAGGGUGCUGCAAUGGGUGUGGGAGACAAAGGUUCGUUUAGUUUUAAGAGAAAUAGAAAAGUUACCGCUGAUAAUGAGGGAAACAGGGGUUUCUGCAUAAGCCAUUCACUCAGGCACUUACUCAGCUUCUCAUAAAUAUUUUGUUUGUAUCCCAUGCUCUAAAACUCAGAAAUAUCUGUGUGAGCUGCAGCCAUAUAUCUGAGAUACAUGCUAGAAGAAGCAUCAAGUAAAGGAGAAACAGAGAAAAAGCAUCAAUACCACUGCAUCAUUCCCAAGUGAAAUGUAAAUUGCAGCUAGAAUCCAAAAGUGGUCAUGAAUGCAACAGCAGAGUAAAAUAUGCUCAAACUUUUCCACUCUCUCCUAUUUUUAUAGGUACUGGAAUCAGCCAAAAUACAGGUCAGUUCUUGGCAGGUGAUGGGUUCUUACAGCACCAAUAAUACCUCUGCAACACUCAAUUUGCUGUGGGAAUCUGGGCCAAUCCUUUGACUUAAGGAACAUACAUUUCUUUUGUUGCACCAUGAGCUCACAGAAGCUUCAGUGCUACCAGUCCUUUGUCUGUCUUUGUGCUGCCAGGAAGGUGCCACCUGACUUUCACACUAUUCAGGGAUUUCAGAGGUACAUGGGAGAGAACCAGGAACUCAGAAGAGAUCUAAGAUCCAUCCAUCAAGCCACCACCAAAAGCCAGUACUGAGAGUACAAGGGAGAUGUUUGCAUAACAACAGCAAUGAAUAUGGAUUUUUUUUUUGGCAGAACUAAAACUAAAAUGUCAAUCUGUAUUAAAAAUAACUUAAUUGAAACCCUUAUUAACUGUGAUACUUUAGUAGGUCCAAAGUUACAUAUUUGUGUGCUUUUUUUCAUAUUUAAGUCCAUGCUACUUAUAUUAUUUCUCACAUGAAAUUGAUAUACAUUUGCUUUUAGUUUUGAAAAAACUACAAAUAAAAUUAACUGGAACUAUACUAUUAUUACUUUUAGACAAGAACUUGCUAAAAUUCAGGAAUGAGAACUGCAGUUUUCGGAGCAAAUUGAGCAGACCAGAAAUAAAAUGCUACAGAAAUCUAGAAUACAGGUUGGAACAACUGUGUUUAUCACUGGAGGGCAGCAUAAGUACCAAUAUAAGCUAAAAUAGCAAAACCCCAGUAUUUUCAGCUGUUAUUUUAUAUGCCAGGACAGCAAUUGCUGCUUCUUUAUAGUGGCUAGUGACAAACAAGAGAUGCUGCUGCCAGCAGGUCCGACCUGCCUCUGAAAGACAGAUUUGUUGUCAUUAAUUUUACUUUAUUGUUGUAAUUUCCCAGACCAAACCCGGGGAGCUCAGCAGUUUUAGGGCCUUGCUAGUUGAAAUAAGUUUCUAAUUGUUUUAUUUGCAACAUGCACAGAAAACUUCAUCAACAUUUUCUAUGUCCUUGGCAAUGAAGAGGAAAAAUUCAUGCCACAGUUCUAGGCUACCUUUUCUGAUUCAUAACAAUUUAGGGAGUUUUUGAACUAUUCCUUGGAAUACAGUGAAAUAACCCUUUUCCUUCCCUAGGAUACUUCUGUAACUUUGGAUCAAAUCUGCAUCCUCCCUCAUAAAAAUGAAACUAGCACAGAAUCAACACAAGCAGAAAUGGCAGGACCUAGCUCAGGCAAGAAGAAAUAGAAUUACUGAAUAAUGGAAUGGUUUAGGUAGGAGAGACCUUAAAAAUCACCUCAUUCCACCCUCCCUGCCAUGGGCAGGGACACCUUUCACUAGACCAGGUUGCUUCAAGCCCCAUGCAACCUGGCCUUGAGACAUCACUGCCUCUCUGCUUCAUUCACCUUGACAGACAUCAACACCUUCUCCCAAAUAAAGCUUAGUAGCUAUGAUGUAAUAGAGGAAAAUUAUUUUUCCCCUUGAAAUAAAUCUAUUAGAAGAAGAAUAGAGAUUUUCUACUUUUUACCCACCUAGUUAAAUGGAACAAAAAUGGUUCAGGUUGGAAAGGACAACUGGAGGUUAUCUAGUCCAACUCCCCUCAGUCAGGGUCCCUUGAAGCCUCUUACUCAGGAUCGUGUUCAGAUGACUUUGGAGUAUCUCCAGACAGAGAUUCCAAAACCUCUCUCGGCAAUCUGUUCCAGUGCCCAAUCACCCUUACAGCUAAUAAUUUCUUCUUCACAUUCAGGUGAAAAUUGCUGUGUUGUGUUUUCUGCUGUUUCAUUUGAAAGGAAACCAGGCACAUAAUCCUAGCCCAGUAUGUUCCCUCUAGACGGGUGCCACAGACCAGGACUUCAGGAUACAGACAGAGACUUGAAGGCAAAGCCCAAAUAUUCACAUUUGCACUGGGUGGAGGAAUGUGAAUGAAUAUGUGAAUGAUUUAAUGUGUCCUUAGAAGCUUGCUGUAAACUGCAGGGUCUGAGGGAUGUUCAUGGUACUUUUACUAUUGAGAGCAAGAGAAGAGGUAGCACAGAGGCAGGGACAGAUCUCUGAGCCAUGGGCAGCUCUGGGUGCAAUGUGGGCAGAUCUCCUUCGUCUUCCCAGAGACGGUCAAGAAAUCCUGGGAAGGAUUGUCCCAUGCCUUUGACUUGGAAGGACUUGAAAUUCCAACUCUACCCCUGUGGGGAGAGGAGCUGAGAGCUGCUGGGGCUGUGGGGAGAGGAGAGAAGGCUGGAUAGAAAGCAAGAGGAAGCUUGGUGAGAAAGGAUCCACUGGCAGGAGUGUGUGGGGAGGAAUGGAACUGGCUUGUGCUCUGUGCAGGCUGUUGUGUGGCCAGCUCUGUCUGGGAAAUCGAAACAUUUGGUUGCAAUUGAAACAUUUGGUUGUAUUUCACACAGCUCCAGGGCACCUGUAAAUUGCCUAUCUGCAGAUAAUCAGUGAGGGACCAUAUGCCAGCUCAGGGCUGCCAAUUUUCUGGCUCUGACCCACUCUUCCCAAGUCCUGAAAUGCCCUGUACCUCUUGUGAGGACGGAGGUGCCAGUUCCUGCUGCUGCCUAACAUCUUAGCUCCACAUUUUCUCUCAAAAGAUCCCUGUUCAUUUCCUCUAAAUCUAAAUGUAAGGCAACAGGCACCUGACAAAAUGGUACUGUAAUAUGGAUUAAUACUGAAUAUCUUUCUAUUGAAGAAAUGGGAAAUCCUAAUAUUUACGAGUAACAUAUUUUAUUGAAGAUUUCAGUCUUUAAAAGAUCAGUAUUUGGUAUAGAAUUUCAAGCUCAGUAAAAGGCUGUUAUACAAAUAUGGUCAUGGUCGAAUCUUGAAAAAUGUUAACAGUUUUCAGCAGCAAGGGAGCUUUACAAGGGAGGAAAAUCAAUAUUGACUUAUGCUAUUUAUCCGUAGCAUAGUAAAGUUGCCUACACC